RNAcentral lists this ribosomal RNA (375 nucleotides) under uncultured bacterium. Its description in RNAcentral is "bacterial SSU rRNA". It matches the Rfam family "Bacterial small subunit ribosomal RNA", at positions 30 to 417 of the family's 1533-position model. The record is from RNAcentral.
AUUGAACGCUGGCAGUAUGCCUAACACAUGCAAGUCGAACGAGGUAGCAAUACCUAGUGGCGGACGGGUGAGGAAUACGUAGGGAUCUGCCCUUAAGUGGGGGAUAACCCGGGGAAACCCGGAUUAAUACCGCAUGAUCUCGCAAGAGCAAAGAGGGGGACCGCAAGGCCUCUCGCUUUUGGAGGAACCUACGUCGGAUUAGCUAGUUGGUGAGGUAAUGGCUCACCAAGGCGACGAUCCGUAACUGGUCUGAGAGGAUGAUCAGUCACACCGGAACUGAGACACGGUCCGGACUCCUACGGGAGGCAGCAGUGGGGAAUAUUGGACAAUGGGCGAAAGCCUGAUCCAGCAAUACCGCGUGUGUGAAGAAGGCCU